UUGAGCGCUGAAGGUUGGUACUUGUACCGACUGGAUGAGCAGCCCCCUGGUGAGUAACGCGUGGGGAAUCUGCCUUUGAGCGGGGCACAACAUUUGGAAACGAAUGCUAAUACCGCAUAAAAACUUUAAACACAAGUUUUAAGUUUGAAAGAUGCAAUUGCAUCACUCAAAGAUGAUCCCGCGUUGUAUUAGCUAGUUGGUGAGGUAAAGGCUCACCAAGGCGAUGAUACAUAGCCGACCUGAGAGGGUGAUCGGCCACAUUGGGACUGAGACACGGCCCAAACUCCUACGGGAGGCAGCAGUAGGGAAUCUUCGGCAAUGGACGAAAGUCUGACCGAGCAACGCCGCGUGAGUGAAGAAGGUUUUCGGAUCGUAAAACUCUGUUGGUAGAGAAGAACGUUGGUGAGAGUGGAAAGCUCAUCAAGUGACGGUAACUACCCAGAAAGGGACGGCUAACUACGUGCCAGCAGCCGCGGUAAUACGUAGGUCCCGAGCGUUGUCCGGAUUUAUUGGGCGUAAAGCGAGCGCAGGUGGUUUAUUAAGUCUGGUGUAAAAGGCAGUGGCUCAACCAUUGUAUGCAUUGGAAACUGGUAGACUUGAGUGCAGGAGAGGAGAGUGGAAUUCCAUGUGUAGCGGUGAAAUGCGUAGAUAUAUGGAGGAACACCGGUGGCGAAAGCGGCUCUCUGGCCUGUAACUGACACUG
RNAcentral lists this ribosomal RNA (703 nucleotides) under uncultured bacterium. RNAcentral describes it as "bacterial SSU rRNA". It matches the Rfam family "Bacterial small subunit ribosomal RNA", at positions 62 to 748 of the family's 1533-position model. The record is from RNAcentral.